RNAcentral lists this unclassified non-coding RNA (273 nucleotides) under Rhizophagus sp. (in: glomeromycetes). RNAcentral describes it as "partial contains 5.8S ribosomal RNA and internal transcribed spacer 2". The stretch from base 1 to 65 matches the Rfam family "5.8S ribosomal RNA", at positions 84 to 154 of the family's 154-position model. The record is from RNAcentral. Lineage: Eukaryota; Fungi; Glomeromycota; Glomeromycetes; Glomerales; Glomeraceae.
GUGAAUCAUCAAAUCUUUGAACGCAAAUUGCACUCUCUGCGGAGAGGAUGCCUGUGUGAGGGUCAGAAUUAAUAAAAAUCGGUGUGUUGCUUCUGUGGGACGCUCCGGAGUUUGUGGCAUCUUAAUAUCCUUAAGGUUUUAAGAGGCUUAAAAUUGACUUUUUUUGCGCAUUUUAGAGGGACAUAAAUUCUAUUUUUUAUUCGACUGUCUUAAUGCUCAAAAUCCUAUUAGAGGCGACCAGAUGGUGUGGGUUCGUGUCUAUAAAUUUGUCAU